GUGGCGCUCCAUGAGAGCACAGAAAUACGUCGCAGCAUCCCCCAGCUGCGAGUCGGAGAUCUCCAGGCUGAAGGACUUAGCUGCUUUCUGGAAGUUCACAGAGAAGCGGUUUAACGUUGCAUUAUACUGCUUGUAUGCUUCUUGGAGAAUGACGAGAGUCACCUGCCCUCCUUGCUGUUUGUACCAGAACAAGAGGCCCAUGACCUCCUCACAACAUAAGAAGCAUUUAGCCAAACUGUGAAAGCUCCAAUAGUCUUCAGCAGCUCCAACACUGUUCAAAAGUAUCUCUGAACCUUGAGGAGAGGAGUUUUAUGAGGAGCAUGUGCAACUGCCACCCCAAGAUGGCAUCCAGGACGGCUGCCAGGUCUUAUGACCUGCGCCUGACUUCCUCAUUACCUCAGACUUAGCCACAUCCCAGCCGCCUGCACUGCGCAGACGCCAUGCCUCGUCAGCUCGCUUGAGGUGUUGUCACUUGCUGUGAACCAAUGGACUGCCGUUACGUGACUGGGGUGGAGUCAGUAGGGUAUUUAAGGCACACCCCGGGGUUGUUGGGCGGGGGUAGGGGGUGGGGGAUUCCCAUUCCUGCAUUGCAAUUGGAAGUGUUCCUGAAUAAACCUGCUUGAAGAAGGACAA
RNAcentral lists this long non-coding RNA (633 nucleotides) under Mus musculus (house mouse). RNAcentral describes it as "predicted gene 43647". Lineage: Eukaryota; Metazoa; Chordata; Mammalia; Rodentia; Muridae. The record is from RNAcentral.